GCCGCCGGAAGUGCAGUGAGUGCGCGCGAACGUCAACCGUCAAAGUGGGGUUCUGGAUCAAGCCAAGCUCUACAACAUGGGGCCGCUGAUCAAACUGGUGAAAGAGAGCAAAGCGAGAUUAACAGAUAUAAUGCUAAACCUGGAGUGAGAGACACACAGAGUAGGACAGACAUGCUGAGCUCAGUCUGGUGUCCGAAUG
Molecule: long non-coding RNA, 199 nt
Organism: Callorhinchus milii (elephant shark)
Lineage: Eukaryota; Metazoa; Chordata; Chondrichthyes; Chimaeriformes; Callorhinchidae
Exons: 3
Source: RefSeq, a predicted model, not a curated record